This 682-nucleotide ribosomal RNA is filed under the name bacterium KF-4. Its description in RNAcentral is "bacterial SSU rRNA". It matches the Rfam family "Bacterial small subunit ribosomal RNA", at positions 56 to 718 of the family's 1533-position model. The record is from RNAcentral.
UGCAGUCGAGCGAACUGAUUAGAAGCUUGCUUCUAUGACGUUAGCGGCGGACGGGUGAGUAACACGUGGGCAACCUGCCUGUAAGACUGGGAUAACUUCGGGAAACCGAAGCUAAUACCGGAUAGGAUCUUCUCCUUCAUGGGAGAUGAUUGAAAGAUGGUUUCGGCUAUCACUUACAGAUGGGCCCGCGGUGCAUUAGCUAGUUGGUGAGGUAACGGCUCACCAAGGCAACGAUGCAUAGCCGACCUGAGAGGGUGAUCGGCCACACUGGGACUGAGACACGGCCCAGACUCCUACGGGAGGCAGCAGUAGGGAAUCUUCCGCAAUGGACGAAAGUCUGACGGAGCAACGCCGCGUGAGUGAUGAAGGCUUUCGGGUCGUAAAACUCUGUUGUUAGGGAAGAACAAGUACGAGAGUAACUGCUCGUACCUUGACGGUACCUAACCAGAAAGCCACGGCUAACUACGUGCCAGCAGCCGCGGUAAUACGUAGGUGGCAAGCGUUAUCCGGAAUUAUUGGGCGUAAAGCGCGCGCAGGCGGUUUCUUAAGUCUGAUGUGAAAGCCCACGGCUCAACCGUGGNAGGGUCAUUGGAAACUGGGGAACUUGAGUGCAGAAGAGAAAAGCGGAAUUCCACGUGUAGCGGUGAAAUGCGUAGAGAUGUGGNAGGAACACCAGUGNCGA